Molecule: ribosomal RNA, 430 nt
Filed under: bacterium
Lineage: Bacteria
Description: partial 16S ribosomal RNA
Rfam family: Bacterial small subunit ribosomal RNA
Source: RNAcentral
UGGGGAAUAUUGGACAAUGGGCGCAAGCCUGAUCCAGCCAUGCCGCGUGUGUGAAGAAGGCCUUUGGGUUGUAAAGCACUUUAAGCGAGGAGGAGGCUACUUGGAUUAAUACUCUAGGAUAGUGGACGUUACUCGCAGAAUAAGCACCGGCUAACUCUGUGCCAGCAGCCGCGGUAAUACAGAGGGUGCGAGCGUUAAUCGGAUUUACUGGGCGUAAAGCGUGCGUAGGCGGCUUCUUAAGUCGGAUUUGAAAUCCCUGAGCUUAACUUAGGAAUUGCAUUGGAUACUGGGAAGCUAGAGUAUGGGAGAGGAUGGUAGAAUUCCAUGUGUAGCGGUGAAAUGCGUAGAGAUCUGGAGGAAUACCGAUGGCGAAGGCAGCCAUCUGGCCUAAUACUGACGCUGAGGUACGGAAGCAUGGGGAGCGAACAGG